This 71-nucleotide ribosomal RNA is filed under the name Pseudomonas aeruginosa. Its description in RNAcentral is "partial 23S ribosomal RNA". The record is from RNAcentral. Lineage: Bacteria; Pseudomonadati; Pseudomonadota; Gammaproteobacteria; Pseudomonadales; Pseudomonadaceae.
GUAAGCGUUGUGAGGCGUUGAGCUAACCAGUACUAAUUGCCCGUGAGGCUUGACCAUAUAACACCCAAACA